Molecule: ribosomal RNA, 482 nt
Filed under: uncultured bacterium
Lineage: Bacteria
Description: partial 16S ribosomal RNA
Source: RNAcentral
GUAGUUAGCCGUGGCUUCCUCCUUAGGUACCGUCAUUAUCGUCCCUAAAGACAGAGCUUUACAAUCCGAAGACCGUCAUCACUCACGCGGCGUUGCUGGGUCAGGCUUGCGCCCAUUGCCCAAUAUUCCCCACUGCUGCCUCCCGUAGGAGUCUGGACCGUGUCUCAGUUCCAGUGUGGCCGAUCAGCCUCUCAGCUCGGCUACCCAUCGUUGGCUAGGUGGGCCGUUACCCCGCCUACUACCUAAUGGGACGCGAACCCCUCCUUCUGCGGAUUGCUCCUUUGACCCCUGAGCCAUGCGACUCUGUGGUCUUAUGCGGUAUUAGCACUUGUUUCCAGGUGUUAUCCCCCUCAAAGGGCAGGUUGUUCACGCGUUACUCACCCGUUCGCCACUAGCUAUAAAUCCGAAAACCUAUAGCCCGUUCGACUUGCAUGUGUUAGGCACGCCGCCAGCGUUCGUCCUGAGCCAGAAUCGAACCCUGA